This 62-nucleotide microRNA precursor is filed under the name Acyrthosiphon pisum (pea aphid). Its description in RNAcentral is "microRNA api-mir-275 precursor". Its record names the gene api-mir-275. The record is from miRBase by way of RNAcentral. Lineage: Eukaryota; Metazoa; Arthropoda; Insecta; Hemiptera; Aphididae.
GGCUGCUACAGGCACUCUUAGACUCUUUAAUGUUGACGAAGUCAGGUACCUGAAGUAGCGCG